This 254-nucleotide ribosomal RNA is filed under the name uncultured bacterium. RNAcentral describes it as "partial 16S ribosomal RNA". It matches the Rfam family "Bacterial small subunit ribosomal RNA", at positions 524 to 777 of the family's 1533-position model. The record is from RNAcentral.
UACGGAGGGGGCUAGCGUUGUUCGGAAUCACUGGGCGUAAAGGGCGCGUAGGCGGCCUGAUAAGUAGGGGGUGAAAUCCUGCGGCUUAACCGCAGGGCUGCCUUCUAAACUGUCAGGCUGGAGCACAGUAGAGGCAGGUGGAAUUCCCGGUGUAGCGGUGGAAUGCGUAGAGAUCGGGAAGAACAUCAGUGGCGAAGGCGGCCUGCUGGGCUGUUGCUGACGCUGAGGCGCGACAGCGUGGGGAGCAAACGAGG